This 113-nucleotide non-coding RNA is filed under the name Grimontia sp. RNAcentral's name for it is "Glycine sequence". It matches the Rfam family "Glycine riboswitch aptamer". From Rfam's summary of the family: This family represents the bacterial glycine riboswitch. Glycine riboswitches usually consist of two metabolite-binding aptamers domains with similar structures in tandem. The record is from RNAcentral. Lineage: Bacteria; Pseudomonadati; Pseudomonadota; Gammaproteobacteria; Vibrionales; Vibrionaceae.
GGAGGGAACUCUGGAGAGAGGUAAGCCAGACUUACCCGCCGAAGGAGCAAGCUCGCCCAACUUAAUUGAUGGAUUCGAGUGAAACUCUCAGGCAAAAGGACAGAGGAGAUAAC